This 978-nucleotide ribosomal RNA is filed under the name Triticum aestivum (bread wheat). RNAcentral describes it as "partial small subunit ribosomal RNA". Lineage: Eukaryota; Viridiplantae; Streptophyta; Magnoliopsida; Poales; Poaceae. The record is from RNAcentral.
AUGGAGGAGAUGAGGAAGGCGCUUGAGGAGUUGAUCCAGAAAUCAGUGGGGAACAUCACCACGAAAUUUGAGGAGCACUCAGCGGAAUUGAAGAAAGAGGUCUCCGCCUUGUCCAAACAGGUGGAAGAUUUUGGGGGCGACUUCGACACCGUCAAGCGUCAACACGCCGAGACCCUGCGCGUCUCGCCUCCCCUACGUACUCCGUUGCAGGCCGACAAGGGAGUCCCCCGUCUCGCCAACAACGGGCCACCCCUUCUCCCAGGGCACGCGCGGCCACUAGCAGCCGACGAGCAGUCCGACCGUGGGGCGGAUGCUGCAGCACCGGACCACGGGGAUUGUCGCGCGAAGCCGCCCAAGCACAAUUUUCCGGUCUUCAACGGCGACCACCCCUUGUUGUGGGUGGAUCUCUGCUACAUCUACUUCGACAUGUAUCGUGUCCCAGCGCACCACUGGGUCAGCACUGCCUCACUGUAUUUUGAGGGCCACGCGGCGCUCUGGCUGCAGGCAUACAAGCGUCAGCAUCGCUUGUUGCGUUGGGACUCAUUCAUCGCUGCUGUCGCUGACGAGUUUGGCGCCGAUGAAUUUGAUGGCCAGAUGUCCACACUGCUGCAACUCAAGCAGACCGGCUCCGUCGUCGAUUUACCUUUGGUCUCAGUGAUGAGGUGCGUGCUGCAGUGCGGCUCCAGAAGCCGACCAGUGUCACACGAGCUGUUUCUCUUGCUCGCAUCCAGGAGGAGGAGAAUCUGCACAAUCGUCCUCGAGGGCGUCCUCCAGCACCCACGAAACACCCGCCGGCACUACCUGCGGCUCCAUCCAUUUCUGCCACCCCUCGAGUGGAUGUGCCUCCACGCCGCUCUGGCGAUGACUUUGCGCGUGAGCGACAACUGCGUGACUUUCGCCGUGCCAAUGGGUUGUGUUAUAAGUGUGGUGACAAAUAUGCCAAAGACCAUCAAUGCAAGAAGCCGGGACAAAUUCUGA